GUGGGGCAGCGGCCGGAUCUCAGCCCUGAAUAGUCACCGAGUUCUGCUCUGCGCGGUGUUUUCUCCUGGUCCUUAUCAGAUGCCAUUGGUCUCGCUGCAACAUUUGGGGCACCGAAGCCAACUUGACCUGCCUGAUGCAAACAUCUGGAUUCCAGGGGAACUACCAGGGCCAGUGGCUGAAGGCACAAGCAUCGAAUCACCAGCUCUUCAGACUCCAGAUCAUCUGAUGCAACCAAGUUCAUUGAGGAAAGUUUGGCUUUCUUGAGAUGCCCUUUGAUGCCACGUAUCUGGGGAGCUGGCACUAGGGAGCAGAUGUGAGAAGAGUGGUCCCUGGAGGAGUGAAGCAACCGGUCCACGUUCAGACAAUGAGCUGGAGGCGGGGUGAUUUCUUUCUCAAGGCUCCUCUUCCCAGUGCAACCAACCACCAGGGGAAAAGGCAAAAAUGAGAGGUAGAAUGACCUUUCAUGGGGAUUCCUCUUCUGGGGAAAUGGAAUGGGGUUUACUUCUUGAAUUUUCAGGGCACACUUUGUAAUGUAGUAUAACCAUGAGGAUUUCUCAGUUUACAUCACAGAUAAAUGAAUAAUAAUACUGAGAUGGUAGUGAAAACAUAUUUACUAAUAAACAUAUUUAAUUGAAACUGAUUUGCAUGCUUUAACUAACAAUUUUUACUUAUUUUUCAUGCAG
RNAcentral lists this long non-coding RNA (684 nucleotides) under Equus asinus (donkey). RNAcentral's name for it is "lncRNA (ENSEASG00005038740.1)". Lineage: Eukaryota; Metazoa; Chordata; Mammalia; Perissodactyla; Equidae. The record is from RNAcentral.